RNAcentral lists this ribosomal RNA (253 nucleotides) under uncultured Lachnospiraceae bacterium. RNAcentral's name for it is "partial 16S ribosomal RNA". It matches the Rfam family "Bacterial small subunit ribosomal RNA", at positions 524 to 776 of the family's 1533-position model. The record is from RNAcentral. Lineage: Bacteria; Bacillati; Bacillota; Clostridia; Lachnospirales; Lachnospiraceae.
UACGUAGGGGGCAAGCGUUAUCCGGAUUUACUGGGUGUAAAGGGAGCGUAGACGGCGCGGCAAGUCUGAAGUGAAAGGCAGGGGCUUAACCCCUGAACUGCUUUGGAAACUGCCAUGCUAGAGUGCUGGAGAGGUAAGUGGAAUUCCUAGUGUAGCGGUGAAAUGCGUAGAGAUCGGGAGGAACACCAGUGGCGAAGGCGGCCUACUGGGCUUUAACUGACGCUGAAGCACGAAAGCGUGGGUAGCAAACAGG